CACAUGGUUUUUUUCAAAGCCACAAAAUCUUUGAUUAAUUUUUAUU
Molecule: non-coding RNA, 46 nt
Organism: Capsicum annuum
Lineage: Eukaryota; Viridiplantae; Streptophyta; Magnoliopsida; Solanales; Solanaceae
Source: Rfam